GUGUCCAGCCCAGCUAGAGAAGGCUCCUCGGAAACUUCAGUCGACUCUGGAGAGGGCGGGAGAGAUGCCCAGCCCCUUAAAGGAGAAUACACACAAUUUUGGAAAAGUGGAGAGGAAGUGGAGGAGCCUAAGAAAGAGAGCAUGAAACAUAUCUCAUGUGAAGGGUCCAGUGGAAAAGUAGGGAGAGAAAUUGAAACAUCUGCAGGAUACAGACACAGGUACAGGGAGAAAAGGCAGCUGCAAGAGUCCUGGUGCCCAAUCUGUCUCCCUCCUCUCCAUCUUCCCAAAGACACUGGAACUAGGAUGCGACUGUCUUUGCCUCUGAGCUGAGGAAAAGUCCCCGGGAGACGGACAUCGGACAUCAUAUGUGGAAGAGAUCGCAGCUACAAAGCAGAUAGAAAGGCCAGGCUUGCCUCACCUGGCCAAUCGGACAUUGUCAUUGUCAUCUUUGCCCCACUCCCAGCCCUUUCCAGGGUCCACAGCAAAGUGCAAGGGCAGCAGCUUAUGCUCUGAAUCUGUAAGUGGGAUCACAGCUGGGAAGGAAAGAAACAUGAUCAAGGAGUCUCUCUGAGGAGAGAGGAAGGCAACUGAACACAGACUGACUUCAGUGAAAAGGAGGCUGAACCAUACCAAAGGUCUCUAACUGCAGUCAGUUCGUAACAUGUGAAUUACCUUAGCAUUUAAAAACUUAACAGGCAGGUUUUCCCUUGUAACCCAGCACACAAUUUAGGCUACUAAUCUCCGUGACUUCCCACCAGUCAUCUAGCACCUAUGAUGUUCUUGCCAGUUAACGGAGAUUCAGGGAAUUCAAAGUCAUUAUCAAGACAAAUAUAGCAAAGCAUCAUUUGGAAGGUACUAUGACCUUACUGUAUUAGCUCUUUACUCCAGAGCAGGGAAUACAGGCUGUGUUUUUCUCCAAACCUUUUUUUAAUUUUAAA
This is a long non-coding RNA of Orcinus orca (killer whale), 938 nucleotides long. RefSeq lists it as uncharacterized. The transcript is spliced from 3 exons. The record is from RefSeq and is a predicted model, not a curated record. Lineage: Eukaryota; Metazoa; Chordata; Mammalia; Artiodactyla; Delphinidae.